RNAcentral lists this ribosomal RNA (2916 nucleotides) under Vibrio parahaemolyticus. Its description in RNAcentral is "bacterial LSU rRNA". It matches the Rfam family "Bacterial large subunit ribosomal RNA". Lineage: Bacteria; Pseudomonadati; Pseudomonadota; Gammaproteobacteria; Vibrionales; Vibrionaceae. RNAcentral also lists the same sequence under 1 other name. The record is from RNAcentral.
GUUGUAUGGUUAAGUGACUAAGCGUACACGGUGGAUGCCUUGGCAGUCAGAGGCGAUGAAAGACGUAGUAACUUGCGAUAAGCCCAGAUUAGGUAGUAACAACCAUUUGAGUCUGGGAUUUCUGAAUGGGGAAACCCACGUGCAUAAGCACGUAUCCUUACCUGAAUACAUAGGGUAAGGAGGCGAACCGGGGGAACUGAAACAUCUAAGUACCCCGAGGAAAAGAAAUCAACCGAGAUUCCGAAAGUAGCGGCGAGCGAAAUUGGACUAGCCCUUAAGCUUUACACGCGUUAGACGAACGGUCUGGAAAGUCCGACGAUACAGGGUGAUAGUCCCGUAGUUGACGACGUGUGUUCAGUGAAAUCGAGUAGGGCGGGACACGUGAUAUCCUGUCUGAAUAUGGGGGGACCAUCCUCCAAGGCUAAAUACUACUGACUGACCGAUAGUGAACCAGUACCGUGAGGGAAAGGCGAAAAGAACCCCUGUGAGGGGAGUGAAAUAGAACCUGAAACCGUGUACGUACAAGCAGUAGGAGCAGGCUUUGUCCUGUGACUGCGUACCUUUUGUAUAAUGGGUCAGCGACUUAUAUUCAGUGGCAAGGUUAACCAUCUAGGGGAGCCGUAGGGAAACCGAGUCUUAACUGGGCGUUCAGUCUCUGGAUAUAGACCCGAAACCAGGUGAUCUAGCCAUGGGCAGGUUGAAGGUUGAGUAACAUCAACUGGAGGACCGAACCGACUAAUGUUGAAAAAUUAGCGGAUGACUUGUGGCUAGGGGUGAAAGGCCAAUCAAACCUGGAGAUAGCUGGUUCUCCCCGAAAGCUAUUUAGGUAGCGCCUCGGACGAAUACUACUGGGGGUAGAGCACUGUUAAGGCUAGGGGGUCAUCCCGACUUACCAACCCUUUGCAAACUCCGAAUACCAGUAAGUACUAUCCGGGAGACACACGGCGGGUGCUAACGUCCGUCGUGGAGAGGGAAACAACCCAGACCGCCAGCUAAGGUCCCAAAUUACUACUAAGUGGGAAACGAUGUGGGAAGGCUCAGACAGCCAGGAUGUUGGCUUAGAAGCAGCCAUCAUUUAAAGAAAGCGUAAUAGCUCACUGGUCGAGUCGGCCUGCGCGGAAGAUGUAACGGGGCUAAGUAGUAAACCGAAGCUGCGGCAAUAUACUUUUGUAUAUUGGGUAGGGGAGCGUUCUGUAAGCGGUUGAAGGUGUGUGGUAACGCAUGCUGGACGUAUCAGAAGUGCGAAUGCUGACAUGAGUAACGAUAAAGGGGGUGAAAAACCUCCUCGCCGGAAGACCAAGGGUUCCUGUCCAACGUUAAUCGGGGCAGGGUAAGUCGACCCCUAAGGCGAGGCCGAAAGGCGUAGUCGAUGGGAAACGGGUUAAUAUUCCCGUACUUCUUACAAUUGCGAUGGGGGGACGGAGAAGGCUAGGUGGGCCUGGCGACGGUUGUCCAGGUUCAAGUGCGUAGGCUUAAGAGUUAGGUAAAUCCGGCUCUUUUUAAGGCUGAGACACGACGUCGAGCACCUACGGGUGUGAAGUCAUUGAUGCCAUGCUUCCAGGAAAAGCCUCUAAGCUUCAGAUUGUAAGGAAUCGUACCCCAAACCGACACAGGUGGUCGGGUAGAGAAUACCAAGGCGCUUGAGAGAACUCGGGUGAAGGAACUAGGCAAAAUGGUACCGUAACUUCGGGAGAAGGUACGCUCUUGAUGGUGAAGUCCCUUGCGGAUGGAGCUGACGAGAGUCGCAGAUACCAGGUGGCUGCAACUGUUUAUUAAAAACACAGCACUGUGCAAAAUCGUAAGAUGACGUAUACGGUGUGACGCCUGCCCGGUGCCGGAAGGUUAAUUGAUGGGGUUAGACUUCGGUCGAAGCUCUUGAUCGAAGCCCCGGUAAACGGCGGCCGUAACUAUAACGGUCCUAAGGUAGCGAAAUUCCUUGUCGGGUAAGUUCCGACCUGCACGAAUGGCGUAAUGAUGGCCACGCUGUCUCCACCCGAGACUCAGUGAAAUUGAAAUCGCUGUGAAGAUGCAGUGUACCCGCGGCUAGACGGAAAGACCCCGUGAACCUUUACUACAGCUUGGCACUGAACAUUGACCCUACAUGUGUAGGAUAGGUGGGAGGCUUUGAAGCACGUACGCCAGUAUGUGUGGAGCCGUCCUUGAAAUACCACCCUUGUAGUGUUGAUGUUCUAACGUCGACCCCUUAUCGGGGUUGCGGACAGUGCCUGGUGGGUAGUUUGACUGGGGCGGUCUCCUCCCAAAGAGUAACGGAGGAGCACGAAGGUGGGCUAAUCACGGUUGGACAUCGUGAGGUUAGUGCAAUGGCAUAAGCCCGCUUGACUGCGAGAAUGACAAUUCGAGCAGGUGCGAAAGCAGGUCAUAGUGAUCCGGUGGUUCUGAAUGGAAGGGCCAUCGCUCAACGGAUAAAAGGUACUCCGGGGAUAACAGGCUGAUACCGCCCAAGAGUUCAUAUCGACGGCGGUGUUUGGCACCUCGAUGUCGGCUCAUCACAUCCUGGGGCUGAAGUCGGUCCCAAGGGUAUGGCUGUUCGCCAUUUAAAGUGGUACGCGAGCUGGGUUUAGAACGUCGUGAGACAGUUCGGUCCCUAUCUGCCGUGGGCGUUGGAAGAUUGAAGGGGGCUGCUCCUAGUACGAGAGGACCGGAGUGGACGAACCUCUGGUGUUCGGGUUGUGUCGCCAGACGCAUUGCCCGGUAGCUAAGUUCGGAAUCGAUAACCGCUGAAAGCAUCUAAGCGGGAAGCGAGCCCUGAGAUGAGUCUUCCCUGAUACUUUAAGUAUCCUAAAGGGUUGUCGGAGACUACGACGUUGAUAGGUCAGGUGUGUAAGUGCUGUGAGGCAUUGAGCUAACUGAUACUAAUUGCCCGUGAGGCUUAACCAUACAACACCCAAGGGGUUU